GAGGAUAUAGCUCAGUGGUAGAGUACAUGCUUAGCAUGCACAAGGUCCUAGGUUCAAUCCCUGGUACCUCCA
Molecule: transfer RNA, 72 nt
Filed under: Camelus ferus (Wild Bactrian camel)
Lineage: Eukaryota; Metazoa; Chordata; Mammalia; Artiodactyla; Camelidae
Rfam family: tRNA
About the family: Transfer RNA (tRNA) molecules are approximately 80 nucleotides in length. Their secondary structure includes four short double-helical elements and three loops (D, anti-codon, and T loops). Further hydrogen bonds mediate the characteristic L-shaped molecular structure. tRNAs have two regions of fundamental functional importance: the anti-codon, which is responsible for specific mRNA codon recognition, and the 3' end, to which the tRNAs corresponding amino acid is attached (by aminoacyl-tRNA synthetases). tRNAs cope with the degeneracy of the genetic code in two manners: having more than one tRNA (with a specific anti-codon) for a particular amino acid; and 'wobble' base-pairing, i.e. permitting non-standard base-pairing at the 3rd anti-codon position.
Source: Rfam by way of RNAcentral